AAUAUUUGACAAUGGGCGAAAGACUGCUCCAGCCAUCCCGCGUGUGUGAAGAAGGNCUNNGGAUUNUNAAGCACUUUAAGUUGNNNNNAAGGGGUUGACGCUAAUACCUUCAGUCUUGGACGUUACCAUCAGAAUAAGCACCGGGUAACUUCGUGCCAGCAGCAGCGGUAAUACGAAGGGUGCAAGCGUUAAUCGGAAUUACUGGGGGUAAAGCGGGCGUAGGUGGUUUGUUAAGUUGGAAGUGAAAGCCCCGGGCUCAACCUGGGAACUGCUUUCAAAACUGGCAAGCUAGAGUAUGGCAGAGGGUGGUGGAAUUUCCUGUGUAGCGGUGAAAUGCGUAGAUAUAGGAAGGAACACCAGUGGCGAAGGCGACCACCUGGGCUAAUACUGACACUGAGGUGCGAAAGCGUGGGGAGCAAACAGG
Molecule: ribosomal RNA, 424 nt
Filed under: uncultured bacterium
Lineage: Bacteria
Description: partial 16S ribosomal RNA
Rfam family: Bacterial small subunit ribosomal RNA
Source: RNAcentral